AGAGGAAUAACUGGGUCAAAUGGUGGUUCCAUUCCCAGCUUUCCAAGGAAUCUCCAUAAUGCUUUCCAAAUUGACUACACCAUUUUGCAGUCCCACCAGCAAU
Molecule: microRNA precursor, 103 nt
Filed under: Marmota monax (woodchuck)
Lineage: Eukaryota; Metazoa; Chordata; Mammalia; Rodentia; Sciuridae
Source: RNAcentral